RNAcentral lists this ribosomal RNA (594 nucleotides) under Triticum aestivum (bread wheat). RNAcentral describes it as "partial small subunit ribosomal RNA". The record is from RNAcentral. Lineage: Eukaryota; Viridiplantae; Streptophyta; Magnoliopsida; Poales; Poaceae.
AUGCACUUCCUUUCCGGGUCCAUGUCAGGGCUGGCGGAAGAAGUCUCUAUACUCCGCUCUGAUCUCGAAAGUGAGGAGUGGAGGGUGUCGAUCAAGGGCCCAACGAAAUCUGAUGGAAAACCACAAAGGAAGACAAAAACAAGCUGUAUGGUCAAGCUUAAUAACACCCUAUGCGUGGUUCAACGAACCUCGAACAACAUAUGGCUCAUAUGGCUUCUCAGUGAUCCCACCAAAGGCGUCUGGGAAAAGGCGUACGCAAUAGAUACGGAUUCACGAGUUGAACGGGUGAUGCCUUUGACGGAGAUGCAUGAUGGUGAAAAGUUGCUCUUCUAUGUGCAGGAUAAGUUCUCGGCAACAUCGACAUUGCAAGUCUACGAUCCACUCACACAGAAGUGCACACAGCGUCUGGAAUUUGCAAGCAACCUUUUGGGUGCUGGCCUUUGUGACUUGCACUUGGAAAAUUUUGUCUCAACUAAGAUCUUGCCGGUGGUUGCUCCGAGUAUUUUGUCUCACCAAAGAUUUCUCCAGUGGCUUCGUGGGCUGAAACCUUUUUCUCUCUUUUAUAAAUGGUGGGCCUCAAAUAACAACGUUUGA